UACGGAGGAUGCAAGCGUUAUCCGGAAUGAUUGGGCGUAAAGCGUCCGCAGGUGGCAGUUCAAGUCUGCUGUCAAAGACCGGGGCUUAACUUCGGAAAGGCAGUGGAAACUGAACAGCUAGAGUAUGGUAGGGGCAGAGGGAAUUCCUGGUGUAGCGGUGAAAUGCGUAGAGAUCAGGAAGAACAUCGGUGGCGAAGGCGCUCUGCUGGACCAUAACUGACACUCAGGGACGAAAGCGAGGGGAGCGAAUGGG
This 253-nucleotide ribosomal RNA is filed under the name uncultured bacterium. RNAcentral describes it as "partial 16S ribosomal RNA". It matches the Rfam family "Bacterial small subunit ribosomal RNA", at positions 524 to 776 of the family's 1533-position model. The record is from RNAcentral.